CUUGCCCCGCCUUUUAUAGGGGAGAACCCGGGUACGAAAGGACGCCUCAAACCGCAAUCCAAAGCCGAAGCGGCAUCCAAUAAAAAAUGACACCUAGGCUCAGAAACCGUCUAGCUCAGCUCUCCCCCGACGUUCGAGGGUGACAUUUUCGAUAGAAGCGAUCCUUACUCACGUGUUCAGCCCAUCAGAGUCGAUCCUCA
This 200-nucleotide long non-coding RNA is filed under the name Setaria viridis. Its description in RNAcentral is "long non-coding RNA (SVIR_LNC004914)". The record is from RNAcentral. Lineage: Eukaryota; Viridiplantae; Streptophyta; Magnoliopsida; Poales; Poaceae.